RNAcentral lists this ribosomal RNA (903 nucleotides) under uncultured Bacillota bacterium. RNAcentral describes it as "bacterial SSU rRNA". It matches the Rfam family "Bacterial small subunit ribosomal RNA", at positions 1 to 916 of the family's 1533-position model. The record is from RNAcentral. Lineage: Bacteria; Bacillati; Bacillota.
GGAUCCAGACUUUGAUCCUGGCUCAGGAUGAACGCUGGCGGCGUGCCUAACACAUGCAAGUCGAACGGACUUACAUUGAAGCCUAGCGAUAUGUAAGUUAGUGGCGGACGGGUGAGUAACGCGUGGGUAACCUGCCUUGUACUGGGGGACAACAGUUGGAAACGACUGCUAAUACCGCAUAAGCGCACAGCUUCGCAUGAAGCAGUGUGAAAAACUCCGGUGGUACAAGAUGGACCCGCGUCUGAUUAGCUGGUUGGUGAGGUAACGGCCCACCAAGGCGACGAUCAGUAGCCGGCCUGAGAGGGUGAACGGCCACAUUGGGACUGAGACACGGCCCAAACUCCUACGGGAGGCAGCAGUGGGGAAUAUUGCACAAUGGGGGAAACCCUGAUGCAGCAACGCCGCGUGAGUGAAGAAGUAUUUCGGUAUGUAAAGCUCUAUCAGCAGGAAAGAAAAUGACGGUACCUGACUAAGAAGCCCCGGCUAACUACGUGCCAGCAGCCGCGGUAAUACGUAGGGGGCAAGCGUUAUCCGGAUUUACUGGGUGUAAAGGGAGCGUAGACGGUUUUGCAAGUCUGAAGUGAAAGCCCGGGGCUUAACCCCGGGACUGCUUUGGAAACUGUAGAACUAGAGUGCAGGAGAGGUAAGUGGAAUUCCUAGUGUAGCGGUGAAAUGCGUAGAUAUUAGGAGGAACACCAGUGGCGAAGGCGGCUUACUGGACUGUAACUGACGUUGAGGCUCGAAAGCGUGGGGAGCAAACAGGAUUAGAUACCCUGGUAGUCCACGCCGUAAACGAUGAUUACUAGGUGUUGGUGGGUAUGACCCAUCGGUGCCGCAGCAAACGCAAUAAGUAAUCCACCUGGGGAGUACGUUCGCAAGAAUGCAACUCAAAGGAAUUGACGG